Molecule: non-coding RNA, 72 nt
Organism: Xiphophorus maculatus (southern platyfish)
Lineage: Eukaryota; Metazoa; Chordata; Actinopteri; Cyprinodontiformes; Poeciliidae
Source: Rfam
UCCUCGUUAGUAUAGUGGUGAGUAUCCCCGCCUGUCACGCGGGAGACCGGGGUUCGAUUCCCUGACGGGGAG